This 430-nucleotide ribosomal RNA is filed under the name uncultured Acidobacterium sp. RNAcentral describes it as "bacterial SSU rRNA". It matches the Rfam family "Bacterial small subunit ribosomal RNA", at positions 958 to 1385 of the family's 1533-position model. Lineage: Bacteria; Pseudomonadati; Acidobacteriota; Terriglobia; Terriglobales; Acidobacteriaceae. The record is from RNAcentral.
AACGCGAAGAACCUUACCUGGGCUCGAACGGCUUAAGAUCAUCUUUGGAAACAGAGACUUCCCGCAAGGGACUUGAGUCGAGGUGCUGCAUGGCUGUCGUCAGCUCGUGUCGUGAGAUGUUGGGUUAAGUCCCGCAACGAGCGCAACCCUUGUCCUGUGUUGCCACUCCCGCAAGGGAAGCACUCUCAGGAGACCGCCAGCGAUAAGCUGGAGGAAGGUGGGGAUGAUGUCAAGUCAUCAUGGCCUUUAUGUCCAGGGCUACACACGUGCUACAAUGGGCGGUACAAAGCGCUGCAAACCCGCGAGGGGGAGCUAAUCGCAAAAAACCGUUCUCAGUUCGGAUCGCAGGCUGCAACUCGCCUGCGUGAAGCUGGAAUCGCUAGUAAUGGCGUAUCAGAAUGAUGCCGUGAAUACGUUCCCGGGCCUUGUA